This 346-nucleotide ribosomal RNA is filed under the name uncultured bacterium. RNAcentral describes it as "partial 16S ribosomal RNA". It matches the Rfam family "Bacterial small subunit ribosomal RNA", at positions 523 to 866 of the family's 1533-position model. The record is from RNAcentral.
AUACGUAGGGUGCGAGCGUUGUCCGGAAUUACUGGGCGUAAAGAGCUCGUAGGUGGUUUGUCGCGUCGUCUGUGAAAUUCCGGGGCUUAACUCCGGACGUGCAGGCGAUACGGGCAUAACUUGAGUACUGAAGGGGAGACUGGAACUCCUGGUGUAGCGGUGCAAUGCGCAGAUCUCAGGAGGAACACCGGUGGCGAAGGCGGGUCUCUGGGCAGUAACUGACACUGAGGGGCAAAAGCAUGGGUGGCGAACAGGAUUACAUGCCCUUGUAGUACAUGCCGUAAGCGGUGGGCGCUAGGUGUAGGGGUCUUCCACGAAUUCUGUGCCGUGGCUAACGCAUUAAGCG